This 386-nucleotide ribosomal RNA is filed under the name Macaca arctoides (stump-tailed macaque). RNAcentral describes it as "12S ribosomal RNA". It matches the Rfam family "Bacterial small subunit ribosomal RNA", at positions 794 to 1383 of the family's 1533-position model. The record is from RNAcentral. Lineage: Eukaryota; Metazoa; Chordata; Mammalia; Primates; Cercopithecidae.
GCUUGGCCCUAAACCUCAGUGGUUAGAUAACAAAACUACUCGCCAGAAUACUACAAGCAACAGCUUGAAACUCAAAGGACUUGACGGUGCUUUACACCCCCUAGAGGAGCCUGUUCUAUAAUCGAUAAACCCCGAUCCACCCCACCCUCUCUUGCUCAGCCUAUAUACCGCCAUCUUCAGCAAACCCUAAUGAAGGUCACAAAGUGAGCGCAAACGCCGCCCCGCGAAUACGUUAGGUCAAGGUGUAGCCUAUGAGACGGUAAAAAAUGGGCUACAUUUUCUAUCUCAGAAAAUCCACGAAAACCCUUAUGAAAUUUAAAGGUCUAAGGAGGAUUUAGCAGUAAAUUAAGAAUAGAGUGCUUAAUUGAACCAGGCCAUAAAGCGCG